Molecule: ribosomal RNA, 253 nt
Filed under: uncultured bacterium
Lineage: Bacteria
Description: partial 16S ribosomal RNA
Rfam family: Bacterial small subunit ribosomal RNA
Source: RNAcentral
UACGUAGGGGGCAAGCGUUGUCCGGAAUUAUUGGGCGUAAAGAGCUCGUAGGCGGCUUGUCGCGUCGGAUGUGAAAGCCCGGGGCUUAACCCCGGGUCUGCAUUCGAUACGGGCAGGCUAGAGUUCGGUAGGGGAGAUCGGAAUUCCUGGUGUAGCGGUGAAAUGCGCAGAUAUCAGGAGGAACACCGGUGGCGAAGGCGGAUCUCUGGGCCGAUACUGACGCUGAGGAGCGAAAGCGUGGGGAGCGAACAGG